AUGAAACAACAACUGGUACCGUAUAGAAGGGGCCAUAAACUGGAGAGUCUUGACCAAUUCGAAAGAUCAUUUGGUGUAGUUGAAAUAACAGAAUUGGACCUUGUUUGGUCAAGUAAGGGAAACUCAAUCAAAUUCAUAACUGUCUCAAUAGAAUCUUUUCCUUCUUUUUUUUUGCCUCUGAGGUUUCCCUUCUCUUCCAGCAUUCUUGAAACCUGA
RNAcentral lists this ribosomal RNA (216 nucleotides) under Triticum aestivum (bread wheat). RNAcentral's name for it is "partial small subunit ribosomal RNA". The record is from RNAcentral. Lineage: Eukaryota; Viridiplantae; Streptophyta; Magnoliopsida; Poales; Poaceae.